CCUACGGGUGGCUGCAGUGGGGAAUAUUGCUCAAUGGAGGAGACCCUGAAGCAGCAACGUAGCGUGAAGGAUGAAUGUUUUCGGAUUGUAAACUCCUUUUUUUAGAGAAGUUAAUGACGGUAUCUAACGAAUUAUCACUGUCUAACACCGUGCCAGCAGCGGCGGUAAUACGGAGGGUGCAAGCGUUACUCGGAAGCACUGGGCGUAAAGAGCGCGUAGGCGGGAUAGCAAGUCAGAUGUGAAAUCCUAUGGCUUAACCAUAGAAUUGCAUUUGAAACUGUUAUUCUUGAGUACGGGAGAGGUAGGUGGAAUUCGUGGUGUAGCGGUAAAAUCCGUAGAGAUCAAGAGGAAUACUCAUUGCGAAGGCGACCUGCUAGAACAUAACUGACACUGAUGCGCGAAAGCGUGGGGAGCAAACAGGAUUAGAUACCCGAGUAGUC
Molecule: ribosomal RNA, 440 nt
Filed under: uncultured bacterium
Lineage: Bacteria
Description: partial 16S ribosomal RNA
Rfam family: Bacterial small subunit ribosomal RNA
Source: RNAcentral